RNAcentral lists this ribosomal RNA (902 nucleotides) under uncultured archaeon. RNAcentral describes it as "bacterial SSU rRNA". It matches the Rfam family "Archaeal small subunit ribosomal RNA", at positions 15 to 923 of the family's 1478-position model. The record is from RNAcentral.
CGCCGGACCUGACUGCUAUCGGAUUGAUACUAAGCCAUGCGAGUCUUUGUAGUAAUACAAGGCAUACGGCUCAGUAACGCGUAGUCAACCUAACCUAUGGACAAGAAUAAUCUCGGGAAACUGAGCAUAAUUCUUGAUAGAUCAUAAUGCCUGGAAUGGUAUAUGGUUAAAAUGAUUCGUCGCCAUAGGAUGGGACUGCGGCCUAUCAGCUUGUUGGUGAGGUAAUGGCCCACCAAGGCGAUUACAGGUACGGGCUCUGAGAGGAGAAGCCCGGAGAUGGGUACUGAGACAAGGACCCAGGCCCUAUGGGGCGCAGCAGGCGAGAAAACUUUGCAAUGUGCGAAAGCACGACAAGGUUAGUCCGAGUGAUUUCUGCUAAAGAGAUCUUUUGCUAGUUAUAAAACCACUAGUGAAUAAGGGGUGGGCAAGUUCUGGUGUCAGCCGCCGCGGUAAAACCAGCACCUCAAGUGGUCAGGAUGAUUAUUGGGCCUAAAGCAUCCGUAGCCGGCUCUGUAAGUUUUCGGUUAAAUCUAUGCGCUCAACGUAUGGGCUGCCGAAAAUACUGUAGAGAUAGGGAGUGGGAGAGGUAGACGGUACUCGGUAGGAAGGGGUAAAAUCCUUUGAUCUAUCGAUGACCACCUGUGGCGAAGGCGGUCUACCAGAACACGUUCGACGGUGAGGGAUGAAAGCUGGGGGAGCAAACCGGAUUAGAUACCCGGGUAGUCCCAGCUGUAAACGAUGCAGACUCGAUGAUGCAUUGGCAUAUAGCCAGUGCAGUGUCGCAGGGAAGCCGUUAAGUCUGCCGCCUGGGAAGUACGUACGCAAGUAUGAAACUUAAAGGAAUUGGCGGGGGAGCACCACAAGGGGUGAAGCCUGCGGUUCAAUUGGAUUCAACGCCGGAA